This 466-nucleotide ribosomal RNA is filed under the name uncultured bacterium. Its description in RNAcentral is "partial 16S ribosomal RNA". It matches the Rfam family "Bacterial small subunit ribosomal RNA", at positions 28 to 505 of the family's 1533-position model. The record is from RNAcentral.
GACGAACGCUGGCGGCGUGCUUAACACAUGCAAGUCGAACGGAAAGGCCCUGCUUUUGUGGGGUGCUCGAGUGGCGAACGGGUGAGUAACACGUGAGUAACCUGCCCUUGACUUUGGGAUAACUUCAGGAAACUGGGGCUAAUACCGGAUAGGAGCUCCUGCUGCAUGGUGGGGGGUGGAAAGUUUCGGCGGUUGGGGAUGGACUCGCGGCUUAUCAGCUUGUUGGUGGGGUAGUGGCUUACCAAGGCUUUGACGGGUAGCCGGCCUGAGAGGGUGCCCGGCCACGUUGGGACUGAGAUCCGCCCAAGGCCCCUGGGGGGGGCAGCAGUGGGGAAUAUUGCACAUGGGGCGGAGGCCUGAUGCAGCAACGCCGCGUGGGGGAUGCCGCCCUUGGGGUUGAAAACCUCUUUCCCCUGGGACGAAGCGUGAGUGACGGUAAUGGGAAAAGAAGCCCCGGCUAACCACG